Helianthus annuus (common sunflower) is the source of this 680-nucleotide long non-coding RNA. RefSeq lists it as uncharacterized. The record is from RefSeq and is a predicted model, not a curated record. The transcript is spliced from 3 exons. NCBI's taxonomy places the organism in Eukaryota, Viridiplantae, Streptophyta, Magnoliopsida, Asterales, Asteraceae.
AUCAUUCUGGCCGUUUCACUUCGUUUCGCAAAGAAAAUAACAAUCGUUCAUCCCCGAAAACCCUAAUCGCAUCAGCAAUCAUCAAGCAUGGGCAUAAUCCUGUGUAAAUCUUUGAUUCUUGCUUCCAAUUUAUGAUUCUCGAUUUCAGAUCCUUUGUCCAUUGAAGCUUCAUGUUUUUAUUUAUUCCAUUUGUUACAGGAGAUAUUGCCAGUUAUCUACAGAUCAUUCAAGGAAGAAUACUCAUGCGGUUUUAUCUGAAUCUGUCAAUCUGACUGAGUUGCGUUGUUUUGAUAGUUUACAAGUGUCAUUCAUUGUUUUUUAUUUAGAUUUUUACGUAUAUGAAGAGGUUUAUUUGUAUGCAGCCCAUGUACUGUGUGUUUUAGAAUCACCACUCUUCUUUCGAUUCUUGAUUAUAAAUGUAGAAUUGGAUUGUAGUUUCUCACUUUUUUAAGAAUAACAUAAGCAGGCUCAUUCAAUUUUUCUAUUGAGUUAUCAAUCGAAACGUGAUUUUGUAUGUUUCCAUUCUUCAAAUAUAACUUUUUUCUACCUUUCAUUUGUUCUUUAAUGGUUUUCAGUGAUGCUUAAUCCAAUUUUAGCCAAAAACCUAAAUCAAAAAAGCAAAAAGUAGCCUUGAAAACUUAUAUAGUGCCUUGAAAACUUGAAGGCUAUUAGUUUAAUAG